UAGGGAAUCUUCCGCAAUGGGCGAAAGCCUGACGGAGCAACGCCGCGUGAGUGAUGAAGGUCUUCGGAUCGUAAAACUCUGUUAUUAGGGAAGAACAAAUGUGUAAGUAACUAUGCACGUCUUGACGGUACCUAAUCAGAAAGCCACGGCUAACUACGUGCCAGCAGCCGCGGUAAUACGUAGGUGGCAAGCGUUAUCCGGAAUUAUUGGGCGUAAAGCGCGCGUAGGCGGUUUUUUAAGUCUGAUGUGAAAGCCCACGGCUCAACCGUGGAGGGUCAUUGGAAACUGGAAAACUGGAGUGCAGAAGAGGAGAGUGGAAUUCCAUGUGUAGCGGUGAAAUGCGCAGAGAUAUGGAGGAACACCAGUGGCGAAGGCGACUUUCUGGUCUGUAACUGACGCUGAUGUGCGAAAGCGUGGGGAGCAAACAGG
This 429-nucleotide ribosomal RNA is filed under the name Actinomycetes bacterium. RNAcentral describes it as "Actinobacteria bacterium partial 16S ribosomal RNA". It matches the Rfam family "Bacterial small subunit ribosomal RNA", at positions 355 to 776 of the family's 1533-position model. Lineage: Bacteria; Bacillati; Actinomycetota; Actinomycetes. The record is from RNAcentral.